GACGAACGCUGGCGGCGUGCCUAACACAUGCAAGUCGUACGGGACCGGGGGCAACUCCGGUUCAGUGGCAGAUGGGUGCGUAACACGUGAGGAACCUGUCCGGCGGCGGGGGAUAGCCGGCCCAACGGCCGGGUAAUACCGCAUACGCUCGUUCGGGGGCAUCCCUGGGCGAGGAAAGCAGCCGCAAGGUUGCGCCGACGGAGGGCCUCGCGGCCUAUCAGCUUGUUGGCGGGGUAACGGCCCACCAAGGCGACGACGGGUAGCUGGUCUGAGAGGA
RNAcentral lists this ribosomal RNA (277 nucleotides) under uncultured bacterium. Its description in RNAcentral is "partial 16S ribosomal RNA". It matches the Rfam family "Bacterial small subunit ribosomal RNA", at positions 28 to 300 of the family's 1533-position model. The record is from RNAcentral.